RNAcentral lists this small RNA (597 nucleotides) under Pan troglodytes (chimpanzee). RNAcentral's name for it is "retained intron". The stretch from base 191 to 262 matches the Rfam family "Small nucleolar RNA SNORD27". The record is from RNAcentral. Lineage: Eukaryota; Metazoa; Chordata; Mammalia; Primates; Hominidae.
CUUAUUGGGCUCCUGUCUGCAGGAUUUACGCGCACGUUGGAACCGAAGAGAGCUCUGUUGUUGCACCCACAAGACCUUACUGGUGAAGGAAUGGGACAAGACCCAUCUUUAUGCAAAGCCAGCGUUACAGUAAUGUCCCAGGUAGGUGUACAUGGUUUAUGCUCUUACAGAGGAGACCUUGUAGAUAACCACUCCAUGAUGAACACAAAAUGACAAGCAUAUGGCUGAACUUUCAAGUGAUGUCAUCUUACUACUGAGAAGUGAGAGAGAGGUCUUAAGGGGUCUUUGAAUGACUAUUUUUAGGUACAUAAAAUGCUUUCCUCUGUUGUCUACAGCAUCUCAUAAUCUAUCCUGGGGAAUUCAGCUGCCUCCCAGGGUGAAUACAGGUAAUUAUCCAAAUUGGUGUAUGUCAUCUUUGUAAAUGUUCACAAGAAAACAAGUGGCCGGCGGAAGCAAUGUUUUUUGGCGCCUUCCAUCUUGUUCCUCUUGAAAUGAUUUUCUGGGGAGGGAGAUCGCAACCCGGUACUACAGUUCUUGUAAGGGUGUGCUGUUACCCUCAUCCAUAUAUCGAUCACGUUACUGUCAGAUGAUUUGAAU